GUCUUCGUGGCUCAGUUGGUUAGAGCGUUGGUCUCAUAACUUGACCCAAUCAAACGUUGGGAUAUCCAAAGGUCGUGAGUUCGAGUCUCACCGAGGACA
Xylaria sp. CBS 124048 is the source of this 99-nucleotide non-coding RNA. Lineage: Eukaryota; Fungi; Ascomycota; Sordariomycetes; Xylariales; Xylariaceae. The record is from the annotation of a GenBank genome assembly.